GAUGAACGCUAGCGGCAGGCUUAACACAUGCAAGUCGAGGGGUAGAGGAAGCUUGCUUCCUUGAGACCGGCGCACGGUUGCGUAACGCGUAUACAAUCUACCUUUUACAGAGGGAUAGCCCAGAGAAAUUUGGAUUAAUACCUCAUAGUAUUUUCGGAAGGCAUCUUCUGAUUAUUAAAGUUCCAACGGUAAAAGAUGAGUAUGCGUCCCAUUAGCUAGAUGGUAAGGUAACGGCUUACCAUGGCUAUGAUGGGUAGGGGUCCUGAGAGGGAGAUCCCCCACACUGGUACUGAGAAACGGACCAGACUCCUACGGGAGGCAGCAGUGAGGAAUAUUGGACAAUGGGCGCAAGCCUGAUCCAGCCAUGCCGCGUGCAGGAAGACGGUCCUAUGGAUUGUAAACUGCUUUUAUACAGGAAGAAACACACCCUAGUGAGGGUACUUGACGUUACUGUAUGAAUAAGCAUCGGCUAACUCCGUGCCAGCAGCCGCCGUAA
RNAcentral lists this ribosomal RNA (496 nucleotides) under uncultured bacterium. Its description in RNAcentral is "partial 16S ribosomal RNA". It matches the Rfam family "Bacterial small subunit ribosomal RNA", at positions 28 to 523 of the family's 1533-position model. The record is from RNAcentral.